UACAGUAGUGUGAUAACUGAAG
RNAcentral lists this microRNA (22 nucleotides) under Gallus gallus (chicken). Its description in RNAcentral is "microRNA Ros-gga". Lineage: Eukaryota; Metazoa; Chordata; Aves; Galliformes; Phasianidae. The record is from RNAcentral.